GGCUCAGAACGAACGCUGGCGGCGCGCCUAAUACAUGCAAGUCGAGCGAGAAGGUGUAGCAAUACACUUGUAAAGCGGCGAACGGGUGAGGAAUGCAUGGGUAACCUACCCUCGAGUGGGGAAUAACUAGCCGAAAGGUUAGCUAAUACCGCAUACGUUUCCGGGACUUCGGUUCCGGAAAGAAAGCAAUACCGUGGGUAUUGCGCUCAUGGAUGGGCUCAUGUCCUAUCAGCUUGUUGGUGAGGUAACGGCUCACCAAGGCUUCGACGGGUAGCUGGUCUGAGAGGACGAUCAGCCACACUGGCACUGCGACACGGGCCAGACUCCUACGGGAGGCAGCAGUAAGGAAUAUUGCGCAAUGGACGAAAGUCUGACGCAGCGACGCCGCGUGGGGGAUGAAGGUCUUCGGAUUGUAAACCCCUUUCGGGAGGGAAGAUGGAGUGGGUAACCACUUGGACGGUACCUCCAGAAGCAGCCACGGCUAACUUCGUGCCAGCAGCCGCGGUAAUACGAAGGUGGCAAGCGUUGUUCGGAUUCACUGGGCGUACAGGGAGCGUAGGCGGUUGGGUAAGCCCUCCGUGAAAUCUCCGGGCCUAACCCGGAAAGUGCAGAGGGGACUGCUCAGCUAGAGGAUGGGAGAGGAGCGCGGAAUUCCCGGUGUAGCGGUGAAAUGCGUAGAGA
This 681-nucleotide ribosomal RNA is filed under the name uncultured nitrite-oxidizing bacterium. Its description in RNAcentral is "bacterial SSU rRNA". It matches the Rfam family "Bacterial small subunit ribosomal RNA", at positions 21 to 696 of the family's 1533-position model. The record is from RNAcentral.